GAACCAAGUUUAAAAAGAAGAAUCAUGAUCUCUCCCAUCCACAGAUGGGAUAUGUUAAGUACCGUUAAUAUUAGAGUAUAUUUUUAGCUAUUCCUUUGUGGGAUUUCUAUGUGUAAGAUCCAUGAUGGGAUCAUAUUAUAUAUGAUUCUGUUUGGUUACUGUCUGUUCUUUAUUUUUUUCUUGCACAUGGCAGGCCUGAAAUAUAUAUAUAUAAUUCUAGUGCUCAUGUACUGUGGUUUCCUGUCCCUCAGUGUGUUUACUGGCCUCUUGUCUUGUUUUUCAGUAGAUGAAUACAUUGCCAUUGCUAAAGAGAAGCAUGGGUACAACAUGGAACAGGCUCUUGGGAUGCUCUUUUGGCAUAAGCAUAAUAUUGAAAAGUCAUUGGCUGAUUUGCCCAACUUUACCCCCUUCCCAGAUGAGUGGACUGUGGAAGAUAAAGUCUUGUUUGAGCAAGCCUUUAGUUUUCAUGGGAAAACUUUUCAUAGAAUCCAACAAAUGCUUCCUGAUAAAUCUAUAGCAAGUCUGGUGAAAUUUUACUACUCCUGGAAGAAGACAAGGACUAAAACCAGUGUGAUGGACCGCCACGCUCGGAAACAGAAGCGGGAGCGGGAGGAGAGUGAGGAUGAACUGGAAGAAACAAAUGGAAAUAACCCCAUUGACAUUGAGAUUGAUCAAAACAAGGAAAGCAAAAAGGAGGUGCCCCCUACGGAGACAGUUCCUCAGAUCAAAAAGGAGAAACAUAGUACGCAAGCUAAAAAUCGAGCAAAAAGGAAACCUCCGAAAGGAAUGUUUCUUUCUCAAGAAGACGUGGAGGCUGUUUCUGCCAACGCCACUGCGGCCACCACGGUGCUAAGGCAGCUAGACAUGGAGUUGGUCUCCAUCAAGCGGCAGAUUCAGAAUAUUAAGCAGACGAACAGUGCUCUUAAAGAAAAACUUGACGGUGGAAUAGAACCGUAUCGGCUUCCAGAGGUCGCUCAGAAGUGUAACGCACGCUGGACCACGGAAGAGCAGCUUCUCGCAGUACAAGCCAUCAGGAAAUACGGCCGAGAUUUUCAGGCAAUCUCAGAUGUGAUUGGGAACAAAUCAGUGGUACAAGUGAAAAACUUUUUUGUAAACUAUCGACGCCGCUUCAACAUAGAUGAAGUUUUACAAGAAUGGGAGGCGGAACAUGGGAAAGAAGAGACCAAUGGGCCCAGUAGCCAGAAACCUAUCAAGUCCCCAGAUAAUUCUAUCAAGAUGCCUGAAGAGGAAGACGAGCGUGACCAGGCUCCACACCUGGAUGCAGGCCUCUGCUCGGCCCCGGACUGUGGCAGUGACGAGGUGAGCCCGCCACCUUGGCGCCUCUGGCCCGCGGAGCGUGGACGCAGCUCUGCCCUCGGCCCCUCGGAGUGGUAGGAAGAACACCGGCCGCCUCUGCACUCUCGUUUCUUAGCCAGAACGUAGGACUUGGUUAGAGAACCGCUGUACGAGCCCCGCUUCCAAAUCCAGUGUUCCCUCGCCGCAUUUAGGGUUGCCUGACCCGCGGAUGGGGCCCUCCACGGUGUGACUCGGCCGGGGUGGAAGGGGCUCCGGGAGACUUGUGCGAGUUCCUCGCCGGCCGCGAGCCUGUGUGGGACACAGGCCGUCUCAGUGGCUGAGACCCGAGGGCGGCACCCGGGAGGGGCGCACAGAGGCUCAGAAGCCUCGGUGUGUGAUUUGCAGAGGUGACUCCUACCCCGCACCCCGGGCUCUCCUGCCAGGAGGUGGAGGAAGGGAGACCGGGGGAGUGCAGGCGCAGGGGGAGCGGAGGGGAGGGCCGGGCUGAGGAAGGGAGGGAGGUGGCCCACCGCCCGCACGGCUGGGCGUCUGCCCGCCCGGCUGCUUGCGCUCGGCCUCCAUCGCCUGGGAGGAGUGGUGAGCACCGAGGACAGGAGGCGGAGGGAGUUAGCGCCGUGCGAGACCUUUCCAGAGGCCGGCCCGGACCACCGUGCGCGUCCGGAAGCGGGGAGACAGGUCAUGGGUACCCGCGUGAAGGGGGCUUGACGUGGGCCCAGCUCGUCUCUCGGGCCACGUCCCGCGUGGCCCCGCUUGGGCAGGUGUACCUGACGGCACCCGAGUGGGAGGCGGUGGGCGGGCAGCCCCUGGUAGCGGGGGUGGGGGUGCCAGUCUCCGCCUGCGGGCCCCGGUGGCGACCAGCUGGAAACGCUCCCGUCCCUUCUCGCCCCCACUCCUGUUCCUUGGGAUCACGUCCAGAGUCACAGAGCCCACGGACCCUCGUCCCAGUCUCUGCUUUCUGGCGCGUUCCAGGCCAGGGCGGCACACGAAGGCGGGAAAAACUGCCCGAUGCCCGCAACUGUGGCGCGGGCUCGAGCCCUUCUGUAGAAGGGAGAGACCUGGAGAGCACUGGCCGACCUACUCGGCCGGUGGCAGCACCCCUCGAACCCCGGCUUCCCGUGGCCGCCUCCGUGCCGGCUCCAUCCGGAGAACGCACGGACCGGCGGCCGGCCUGCUGCUCGCAGGGGCUCGCGGUUCUGUUCCCCAAACCCCCGCGCUCUGUGCCUCCGGGUUCCGUGGACCACGGCUGUGUGCCGACUCCCGGGGGCACGGGGCGUGUGGAACAUUCCUACCGGCCGACUCUCUUUCCUUCUCAGCGGAGCUCCGUCCACACUCGCUCCUCCUCGAAGGCGCUCAGCGCAGGGCAUCGUCGGGCCGGCGGAGCUCGCGGUGUCCCGGCGGACCCCAGGCCUGGGCGGGAUGACAGGUCCUCCGGGGCAGCCUCCCGGGCACACGUUGCCCAGAGCAGGGCCACGGUUGCAGCCAGACCCCGAAGCCACGUCCGGCGACCCCCCUCCUUCAGCCUGUGCUCCCUGCACCGUGUCCCCCGCCUGGGCCCCGUUGGCACCUGUGGCCUGACCGCGCUCGCCCCGGCUCCGCUCCUGGGUCCUCCUGGGUCCGUCGGCAUCCGGGACAUCCCUCCCUGCUCCUUCGCCCGGGUUCUCCCCCGUGGCGUCCGCACCGCUGCGUCUCUGGUCACCGCACCCGAAGCCCCGAAUUCCCCCUCGGCGUCCCCUUCCUGCCCCCGGUGGCCAGUGACCGCCCGAGCCCUUUCCAGCCACUCAUCUUGACCCGGCGCCCCCUUCCGCUCCCGUCACACUCCCCGUCCCCCAAGCGCAGCAGGGCUCCGGCUCAGGGCCGGCCAUUUGCCUUCUAGAGAAACACGCUGCACUCACGUGCCACGUGACACUCCUGCAUCAGGGACGUUUCCGCGUGCUUUGCUCUGCCGCAGGGCCGCCCCCUUCCUCCUGGCACCCGCCCGCACCACGUUCACCUCUCUGGACCGCGACGAAAUGACUGAGAGUUGUUAUUCUAUGCUUUGAAACAGCACGGCCGCGUCCAGUUGGUUUGCACCUCCGUUGGCUUCACGGUCCCCUGCUUAUGACCGAUGAUUUGUUUCUACUGCCCUCAGUCACUGGUCACCGACCGGCAUAACCCGGUGAUGUAGCCAGUGUAGCCGUGGCAUGGAUAUCUAGCAUGGGAAUUUCUGGGUCAAAAGAGCUGUCUAUUCUCACACUUGACCCUGAUUGCCUUGUGGAGACGUAGCACCGUCCUGCACUUCUGUCCCCCUUCCUGACACUGUGGCAACCAAGCGCUCGAUCUGAGGUGUUUGCUGAGCUCUUCGGGGCACUCAGGUUGUCAGAGAGUCCGGCCUGGGGCUGGGCAGGCGCUCGCGUUGGGCCCGAGGAGAAGCUUGGCUGCAGGGUCCGCUGAUUCCCCCGCACAGACUCGGUUUUGUUAUUUCGUGUGCGGUGGCUCAUGGCACUUAAUCGAUUGAAAAUAAAUUUAGCAGCAAUUAAGUCGCAUAUUGUGGAUAAUCAUGUGUAGCAAGUUGUGGGUCUUAGUAAUGACUGCUUAAUACAUUGAAGGUUGCCUUGCCCCCCAAAGUAUGCGUUAUUUGAUUAAUGCUCGUAGCAGCCUUCGGGGCGGGACUUGCCGGGUCAUUCGGCCGGCUGGGAGGCGGUGGGUGGCCCUUGACACGGAAUCCCUCACGGGGCCUCCACGGCUGCUGGAAAGUGGGCCGGGCUGGGGCCGACUGGGGUGCGCCUCUUCAGUUGGGUCACAGCCUCGCCCGCCCUCCCGAGCCUCCGUGCAGCCCCCAAGGCCGUCCUGCAUUAGAGGCCCAAGGGCCACUGCUGGGAUGUCCGUGAGCAAGGCCUGCGACCCCGGGGGAGCCACCGGGAGACCUCGGGAGUGACCCAGGGGGGCCAAAGGACUGUGCAGAUGAGCCCAGCCCGUCCCACAGGAUCGUGAGCUGGUGGAAGGACUGCUGUCCAAAGCCCCUGAACGUGGGAGUGGUUGGUUGCCAGCAGCAGACGCUGGGACGUGG
RNA transcript from Panthera uncia (snow leopard), 4363 nucleotides. It is a transcript of the gene named REST corepressor 1, with no coding region annotated. Lineage: Eukaryota; Metazoa; Chordata; Mammalia; Carnivora; Felidae. The record is from RefSeq and is a predicted model, not a curated record. The transcript has 10 exons.